RNA transcript from Triticum urartu, 1850 nucleotides. RefSeq lists it as uncharacterized. NCBI's taxonomy places the organism in Eukaryota, Viridiplantae, Streptophyta, Magnoliopsida, Poales, Poaceae. The record is from RefSeq and is a predicted model, not a curated record.
AAGAGGUGAAAUAUUUACAUGAAUUAAAAUACAUUGUAAUUGUGCUAGUUGGAAAACAAACGGAAGAGAGAUGAGGCGUUCGGCUGCGUGCAUUUUCUGUUUGCUUUUUUGCGUUUUCUGUUUGCUAAUCAUGGUUUAGGCCUGGGCAUGGACUCAUUGAUAUUUGCUCAUGGGCUUUCGGGCCCUUAAUUUAGCUAUCCACGUGACCACAACAGUUAUUUUGAUGGGGUCAGCGACCACUUUUUGCUGGGUUCAUGUGAAUCAAAUAGUAGCUACACGCUGUUGGUUUUGAUCUGAUGGCUUAACAGGCAGUUAGAUCUAUUAGUCUAACAGAAAAAAAAGAAAAAGAUAAUGAUAAUGAAAAGGCCCCACGCACCAACGUACGUGGGCUUUUUAUCCCAACUAAGGCGCCCUGAUUGGGGGCACCCAAACCAAUUGAUGGUUUAGGUUCCCUGUCGCCAACGCUAGAUAAAAGGGGGUACGGGAGAGGGUUGGCAGCCUGCGCGAUCACAAUUCUCGUACAGUUUCACUCCCCUCCCGAUAUUCUCUUACCCCAUCCGAUCAGGGGGAGCGCUGCAGCGACGGGAAGACCUACUCCAGCCGCCGCUGCCGUCCCCGGCCAAUCCCGGUGGCGUCUUGAAGGAAUCAGGACGUCGAUGAGAACCUCUGCUUCGACUACAUCACGCCUGCACCGAGCAGGCGAUCAUGUCGACUCCCGUGACGUCUUCCGCUGCGUUUACUGUCGAACCGUUGACAGGUAGUAACUUCCCUCGUUGGAAGAACUCGAUGGAAUUAUGCCUAGCCGUCCAUCAGUUUGAUUAUGCUUUACGGGAGGAUAAACCCGUGGCUCCCACUCCUGGUGUCACGGGGUAUGCUGAACUAAAGAAAACUUAUGAUUCCAAGAUGGAGAUAUGAGAAAAGUCAAAUCACAUUGCUAUGCUUGUGAUGAGAUCAUCCAUAUCACCUCACAUAAUUGGGGCACUACCCAAGAAAGAUACUCCUAAGGAAUUCAUGGCAGCCCUGGAGGAGCAAUUCAAAGGCUCCGACAAGGUUUAUGCGCAAGAACUUUUUCACAAGCUCCUUGGGAAGUAUAAUAAUGAUGGUGAUGUCAGGGCUCACAUUUUAAAGAUGGUGAAUGCUUGUAACAAAUUGAAGGCAUUACAAUGUGAGCUCAAUGACAAUCUCUUUGUCAUCAUGAUCUUGGACUCCCUCCCUGAAGAGUUUGAUCAAUUUAAGAUUAACUAUAACUCUCUUAAAGAGAAAUGGACAAUCGCGAAGAUAUCUCCAAGAAUUGUCGAGGAAGAAGAGAGGAUUAAGAGGCAAGGAAAGGACCAAGCCUUUUUGGUUGGUUCCUCCAAGAGAAAGCACGAUGGAGCAAGCUCUUCUAAGCAACAGCCACAAAAGAAGUUCUUUAAGAAAAAUUCAUCAAACUCAUAUAAAGCAAAGGAGAAGGUGGACGAUAAGCCUAAAGACAACAAGUGCAACUUCUGCAAGCAUGAGGGUCAUUAUCAGAAAGACUGACUGUCCAAAAUUUCUCAAAUGGUUGAUGAAGAAAGGACUCAAGUAUAAUCCAAACCAUGGCAAAGGGGGCAAGAAGACUUAAGGUGGAAAAUGGAGUCGAAGUUGAUGUUGAAGCCAUAGGGUCAAUCACCUUAGAACUCCACACUGGCUUCCGUCUUCAUUUAACUAAUGUUCUUUACGUCCCUACCUUAAGUAGGAAUUUGAUUUCUGUCUCUUGCCUAAAUGAUAACAUGUUUGAAAGCAAGUUUGGGAACAAACAAUUUGUUUUGAAUUAUUGUAAUAAGAACGUAGGCCUCGGCGUCAGACGUGGCCAAUUAUAUAUGUUAUCA